Long non-coding RNA from Solanum lycopersicum (tomato), 1260 nucleotides. RefSeq lists it as uncharacterized. The record is from RefSeq and is a predicted model, not a curated record. NCBI's taxonomy places the organism in Eukaryota, Viridiplantae, Streptophyta, Magnoliopsida, Solanales, Solanaceae.
GGUUCAUUGAUUGCCCCAGCUUAUUCCAACUCCUUUGCCAGCCCAACUAAUACCCACUUUGAGCCAGACCAUUACCAAAUUUCCAGACCAAUCUUCAAAAAGAUCAUUAAUUGACCUGACCCAUCCCCAUUCUUUUCCCAAAAAGAGAACCCAGAAGCGUUAGUUUCCCAAUCUCCCAAAAGUGGGCUCCAACGUUUCUAGUAGUCCUAGAAGAAACGUGUAUGAUAAAAACGAUCUUACCGCACCUCUACAUCGUCCCUUUCAUGCGUCUCUUCACACGAUUCCCAGCAGUAGCUCGCCUUAGAAGCCAUAGCGCGUGAGGCGUCUUCCUCAGCGUCUCCCCUCCAUUUUGUAGAUUGUUGACAGUUGCAGCAGCAAGUCAAGUGAAGUUGUCCUUGAAAGCUUGAAAUUUAGCCAUGUCGCUUGCCAAGGACAAUCGAUUUGAUCUGUUCGUCCUUUCUCCUUUACUAUUUAGGAAUGGAUUCACGCUUUAGAAAAAUAUGGUAUACCUCUAAUCGUGAAAGAAUUCAAAUUAUGAUUUCUCGAUGGGCUUUGAACCCCAAUUGGAUCCGUUUUUCCCUGAUUUUCAAGCCCUAAAUUCCCUCUAUAAAAGAUCUCUUUUCUUCAUCUCAGGGGGCUUGCCGGAAAAAGAUUGGAAAAAAGGGUUGGAUAUUUUUAGUUGGAAAAUUGGAAGGGAUUUUCGAGUUGAGAAUUUCUAAUAGAAAGAUAGGAGAAAAGUUGACGAUUUUCAGUUGGGUUAUUAUUUGGUCUAAAAGACCAAAAAAUCUUUUUAGCAGAAACAUGAGAAUAGCUUUAGAAACGGGUAGUUAUACACUAUACUUUAGAAUAGAGAACUUCUUGGAUUUCUACCUCGUCUCCUUAGUCGUGAGUGUUCGAUGUGUUCGUGGUGAAAGUCAUUACCUCUCUGCUCGUGCUGUUGCUGCCUCGGAGAAAGUUCCAUUGGUGAAGUCAAAUUUGGACUUUGUCAUGAGGUUUUGUCUAAUAGUUAUGCCACAUAUUGUCUCUUAAUGCUAUGAAUUUAUUAUUGGCCGAUGGGUAUGUAUUCUUGAGAAUCAGAUAUCUUUUUUUUCUUAAAUCAAUGCACAUCCAUAUCUAUAUAUUUGUAUAACUUUGUCGUCGAUAGUUUGCUAGUUUGGUCUUCUAGAGGUGUCAUUCUCGGAUUAAUUUAAAUUUCUCAGUGGAUGUCAUUCGUUCUAUUAUUUUGAAUGCUAAUCAUUACCGUCAUAUUUUUGCAUGUGA